RNAcentral lists this ribosomal RNA (464 nucleotides) under uncultured bacterium. RNAcentral describes it as "bacterial SSU rRNA". It matches the Rfam family "Bacterial small subunit ribosomal RNA", at positions 331 to 794 of the family's 1533-position model. The record is from RNAcentral.
CCAGACUCCUACGGGAGGCAGCAGUGGGGAAUAUUGCACAAUGGGGGAAACCCUGAUGCAGCGACGCCGCGUGAGUGAAGAAGUAUUUCGGUAUGUAAAGCUCUAUCAGCAGGGAAGAAAUACUGACCUUACGGUCAGCAGACGGUACCUGACUAAGAAGCCCCGGCUAACUACGUGCCAGCAGCCGCGGUAAUACGUAGGGGGCAAGCGUUAUCCGGAAUUACUGGGUGUAAAGGGAGCGUAGACGGCUGUGCAAGUCUGGAGUGAAAGGCGGGGGCCCAACCCCCGGACUGCUCUGGAAACUGUAUGGCUGGAGUGCAGGAGAGGUAAGCGGAAUUCCUAGUGUAGCGGUGAAAUGCGUAGAUAUUAGGAGGAACACCAGUGGCGAAGGCGGCUUACUGGACUGUAACUGACGUUGAGGCUCGAAAGCGUGGGGAGCAAACAGGAUUAGAUACCCUAGUAGG